GAUGGAGCAGGGUAUAGAGAAGCCAUUAGGGAUGAUACAGAACACCACCAAAGGGUUAGUAACGGUGGGGAACUGUUUGCACCCCGAAGCCUGAAAGAGUGAAGUAGGGUGGGAUUACCUGGAAAGAGAGAGAGAGACAGAAGGAGAAUGAGAUUGAGGGAAGGGCUGCCUGGCAGGGGAAGCUGACGCCUUCAGAGCUCCUUCUGGGAUUCUCUAUUGGCUGAACUCAGCCAGAAGCUGCCAAGGGAGACCCCCACAACUGGAUGCAGCCCACUGAAGUCAGCUUCCUGGGGUGCGUAGCUGAAGGUAGCAGGGAGCAAAAAGAAUCUGAAGGGGAAGUGAACAAUGUAGAGCGUAUCUGUGCUGAAGACGUAAGGAGAGAGUGGAGGUCAGAAGCUGGCAUGGUCCCUGGUGCAUGUAUCAGCCGCUAAAGAAGUGGAGAGUAUGAACAUAAGCAAGAGGAAGUGAUGAGUAUCCCUUCCAGGAGAACUCUAAGAGGCAGUGAGUGAUUUGCUGGGCUCCCAAGCCCUCUGCUCUGAUGACAGCAAAGCCCCAAAUCAUGGUGCCUCCAUCAGUCGGGACCCCUCAGCAGAGCCAGCUUCACAGCUGGAGUGGAUGAAUCAGAACUUUCCCCAUGGGAGCAUUUAUAAAAAGGGGACACCCAGCGCAGAAGAUGUUUUCCAGGGAGAUCUCGGGGAGCCCAACAAGCCAAGAAGAGCAGAGCAAAGCAUUCCAAGGAAGGACUCUAAGUCUGCAACCGAGCACACACGAGCACAAGGAAAGACCAUGUGAAUACACAGCAAGAACGUGGUGCUCUGCAAGUCAGAAACAGACCCGUCAUCAGACACCAAAUCAGCCAGCACCUUGAUCUAGGAUUUCUGGCCUCCAAAACAGUGAGAAAAUAAAAUUCUGUUGUUUAAG
RNAcentral lists this long non-coding RNA (921 nucleotides) under Homo sapiens (human). RNAcentral's name for it is "non-protein coding lnc-CRYBA4-9:1". The record is from RNAcentral. Lineage: Eukaryota; Metazoa; Chordata; Mammalia; Primates; Hominidae.